UUGUGGAUUCUCCCUCAUUUGGUACCCGAAAGUUUAGCUAAACCCUCUGAAAAGACACAGUUGUUCACUUUUUCACUGUGUUCAACAAACCUGUUUAUUCAAAACUUUCAACUUGAAAUAACUCUCUUAAACAUGGACACCCACACAUUUUUGAGGAAGUCCAAGAAACGAGGCCCUCCUCUUUCUUUUGAAGAAGAGCAACAUCGCUACAAAGCAGAAUUUAUGAUCAUGAAACAGCAGGAUCAAGUUCCUGAUUAUUUUUCUAGACCUAGCUGUUGACAGGAAGAAGCUUCCUGGAGAAAUUUCACGAAAUAACUGAGAGGACAGACAAAUGUGUCCGAGGAAAUACUUUCAGAUGAGGCUGUGUUGGACCUGCAUCUCUGGACUGUGAAACAUCUGUAAAUGUGGUUGGACGUGCUGCCGUGCUGCGCAACUCUCGCAACGUCCACAUGAGACUUUUGGUAGCUAAUGCUACCAUACUUUAGCUUAGCAGCUAGCAAUGGCCUCUCUCCCUCCCUCUCCCUCUCCUGCUCUCUGUUGCUCGGUGCGUCAAAUGUUCAGUUACUCCUUCAGCGGUAAUGGUAUGUGGAACAAGUGUAGUUUAUUUGUAAACAUGGAGGCAAAGCUUAGUGAUUUAGAAGUUUGGCUCCGCACCUUGGUAGAUCAGUCAUUCGCUACUUCAGUUAGUCAGCCCCCAGUAGCCGGUGUGGACCAACCUGAGUUAUCUCCUAUUAGCCGUCCCCCAGCUUCUCCCGAGCAGCCGGGAGGCCAGGGUGGCUGGGUGACUGUCUGAAAGAGAAAUACCUGUAGGCAUUAGGUCACGGUUCACCACCAAACUGUUUACGUUUCUAACAGAUUCUCCCCACUCAGUGACACACCUGCCGAGAAACCAACUUUGAUUAGCGGCGAAACCAGCGACCAUAUUUAAGUGCAUCCUUGUAGCCAGAGCAGGCGACAUUGAGUCUUAUUUGAAACUGGUUUGGGUCUGGUUUGGGAAAAACGUAAAUUUACAGUAAGAUUGUUAUUCAUGUUGGCGGUAAAGACUCCUGAUUACGCCAAUCGGUGGUCACUAAGAUUAAUGGUCAGUCGGUGUGUACAUAUGCAGCAACAACCAAGCCAUCUUGGAGGGCAAAAAAAGUUGCCAUACUGCCGGAUAGUUGUUGUGCUAUCGGAUGCACUAACCAAUGAAGAGACAACCCAGGGCUUUGUUUUUACAGAAUUCCAUCUGAUAGAGGAAACCUUGCACCAGCAGUGUAAGGUGAGGGAUUCUUCACAAGGUAAACGUAAAACAUCACCGUAGUCGAGCGCUGGCAGGGACCUGGUGGUUUUUGUAGCUUGUGUCCAUAUCUUUUUCUUGAGUAGAGAGGUGAUCCAAAUAAUCGUGGGAAGGAAAGUUAACAGCUUUUGCGGUGUCUCUAUGGGGAGUCUGGUUGGAACCGCCAUCCUGGUCUGUUGUUCUGCCCUCCAGGUCACCGUAGAUGUCACACGACUGAAAACUAUGAAUUAUAGGUGAAUUUAAUAUUCAUGUGGACGUUGCGAAUGAUAGACCUAGUGUUUAUCUCACUAUUAGAUUCACUUGGCUUUUGUCAGAGUGUUCAUAAACCGACUCACUGUUAUAACCACACCCUCGACCUUGUUUUGGUAUAUGGUUUUGCACUGAACAUUUAUUAGUGUUCCCACAGAAUAAUUUUUUUCUGACCACUAUUUAAUAGUGAAUCCAUCAGCUUUUUAUUCAUUACCAUGUCUCAAAGUAACAGAAGAUUCCUAUGCUUAUUUCAGUCCUUUCCAAAUCGAUCAUCUUGUUGAUAGUGCUGCAGGCUCA
This is a long non-coding RNA of Micropterus dolomieu (smallmouth bass), 1822 nucleotides long. RefSeq lists it as uncharacterized. Lineage: Eukaryota; Metazoa; Chordata; Actinopteri; Centrarchiformes; Centrarchidae. The record is from RefSeq and is a predicted model, not a curated record. The transcript is spliced from 4 exons.